RNAcentral lists this ribosomal RNA (497 nucleotides) under uncultured bacterium. RNAcentral describes it as "partial 16S ribosomal RNA". It matches the Rfam family "Bacterial small subunit ribosomal RNA", at positions 28 to 507 of the family's 1533-position model. The record is from RNAcentral.
GGUGAACGCUGGCGGCGUGCCUAAUACAUGCAAGUCGAGCGAACACACGAUGAGCUUGCUCCUCUGACGUUAGCGGCUGACGGGUGAGUAACACGUGGAUAACCUUCCUCUAUUACUUGGAUAACUUCGUGAAACCGGUUCUACUACCAGCUCAUAUAUUCAACCGCUUGGUUCAAUAGUUCUUGACGGCUUUGCUGUCACUUUUAGAUGGAUCCGCGCCGCAUUAGCUAGUUGGUAAGGUAACGGCUUACCAAGGCAACGAUGCGUAGCCGACCUGAGAGGGUGAUCGGCCACACUGGAACUGAGACACGGUCCAGACUCCUACGGGAGGCAGCAGUAGGGAAUAUUCCGCAAUGGGCGAAAGCCUGACGGAGCAACGCCGCGUGAGUGAAGAAGGUCUUCGGAUCGUAAAGCUCUGUUAUUAGGGAAGAACAAAUGUGGAAGUAAAUAUGGACGUCUUGACGGUACCUAAUCAGAAAGCAACGGCUAACUACGUG